UACGUAGGGUGCAAGCGUUGUCCGGAAUUAUUGGGCGUAAAGAGCUCGUAGGCGGUCUGUCGCGUCGGACGUGAAAACCCAGGGCUCAACCCUGGGCCUGCGUUCGAUACGGGCAGACUAGAGUUCGGUAGGGGAGACUGGAAUUCCUGGUGUAGCGGUGAAAUGCGCAGAUAUCAGGAGGAACACCGGUGGCGAAGGCGGGUCUCUGGGCCGAAACUGACGCUGAGGAGCGAAAGCGUGGGGAGCAAACAGG
RNAcentral lists this ribosomal RNA (253 nucleotides) under uncultured bacterium. Its description in RNAcentral is "partial 16S ribosomal RNA". It matches the Rfam family "Bacterial small subunit ribosomal RNA", at positions 524 to 776 of the family's 1533-position model. The record is from RNAcentral.